RNAcentral lists this long non-coding RNA (813 nucleotides) under Equus caballus (horse). RNAcentral's name for it is "lncRNA (ENSECAG00000031744.2)". Lineage: Eukaryota; Metazoa; Chordata; Mammalia; Perissodactyla; Equidae. The record is from RNAcentral.
GGGGAGGGCAGGUUUGACUUUCUAAAUGGGCUUUGUUCACCCAAUGGAAGAGAAAACUCCAGAGCUUGCUCAGCAGCCUGGGCACUGGGCUGCCAGCGUGGGCGGGGCCCCUUGGGGGAGCCAGGGACUGAGCAGCCCCUUUGGGUGGCUUCAUGGUAAAACAAGGUUUUCUCACCUCAAGGCCUUUUGUGUAACGAUGGGUGAGAGCUAAGAGCGGCGGGGGGUGAGGUGAGAGAAAGGCGCAGAGGAAUCAGGCAGCUUACUCAAAACCCGCAGGCGGCACGGGCAGGGCUGGAAGCGAGGGGCCGCCUCUGCUGAAGUGGUCUGGCUCCCAGCGGGACCCAUUGUUGGGCCAGGCACUCCUCCUUCCCGGGCCCCUACCCCUGAGAGCAGAAGCAGGGCACCUCCGGCGGGUGCCAGCACAGAGGGCCUCUGGCUCUUGGCUCCAGGUCCUCACUGGCAUAGAGACAAAGCCAGGACAAUCUCCAGUCACUACAGCACACAGUACAGCGCAUCCCACCGUGAUCAGACCCCAGAUCUUCAGAGGCAUUGACCUGGCCACGGUCAUGGGGAGAAUCGGCAGGUCUCCUGCGUCAUCUGUAGCUCUGUCCACUGACCACUUGGACACCUGUGCCCAGGAGCUAGCGACCAGACCGUCCCUGAAGGGGCAGCAGCAACAGCAGGAAACACGGCUUCCUGUGGACAUGCUGAUGACCCGAUGUCAGAGGCCGAGCUCAGAUGCUGCGUGGUACACAUUACCUCCAGCAGCUCAUUUAGUUUUUAAAUUAAAAACCUACAUUUGGUACUCCAAGC